Molecule: non-coding RNA, 319 nt
Organism: Gorilla gorilla gorilla (western lowland gorilla)
Lineage: Eukaryota; Metazoa; Chordata; Mammalia; Primates; Hominidae
Rfam family: 7SK RNA
About the family: 7SK was discovered as an abundant small nuclear RNA in the mid-70s but a possible function has only recently been suggested. Two independent studies have found that 7SK RNA binds the CDK9/cyclin T complex (known as elongation factor P-TEFb). P-TEFb activates transcription by phosphorylating the C-terminal domain of RNA polymerase II.
Source: Rfam
GCAUGCAAGGGUGAUCUGGCUGUGACAUCUGUCACCUUAUUGACCACCAGGAUUAAUUCAGCUGAUCUGGCUGGCUAGGCAGGUGUCCCCUUCCUCCCUCAGCACUCCACGUGCCUCUCUCCCGAAGCUGUGCACUCAGUUGAAGUGGAUGACCAUCUCUGACAGAGGAGGACCGGCCUUCGGUCAAGGGUAGAGAGUAGCUGAGCUCCCCUGCUAGAAUCUCCAGACAAGCUCUCAAAAUUCAACAUAUUCAUUCAUGCAGUAGAGUUUUAUGUUUUUUUUUUUUUUUGAAGGUUUUGUCUGAGCCAGACCCUGAAGA